This 1019-nucleotide long non-coding RNA is filed under the name Triticum aestivum (bread wheat). Its description in RNAcentral is "long non-coding RNA (TAES_LNC005091)". The record is from RNAcentral. Lineage: Eukaryota; Viridiplantae; Streptophyta; Magnoliopsida; Poales; Poaceae.
ACAAUUCCAUGCCAAUGCUAAUCUGACUGUAUAGCAUAACCCUCGAACCAUAAUUUAACCAUACCAACUAACAUUUCAGUACAAAUUUAUAACCCGCGACUAAAUUAGUAACUAUGGCAGUUGAAUCUGCAGCUUCAACACAAUUUCUAGCACCGAGAAGCACAAGAGCCCCAACCCGACAGCAUUAUAAAUAACAAUUCAGCAGAAUCCACACAUUGACACUGAGACAUAAACAUGUGAGGAGGCGCCUUUACCGUUAUCUGGAGCUUCCACCAACGGGCCCACAUACCAGGUCCCAUGAUGAAGUCUACCCACCGAAUUUUUAAGUGUUGAGCACUUACUUGCUAAACUCCCUGUCAGUACAUGAUAGCAUAUUAUCAUAGAAGGUGAGCAGCGUCUCGAGCAUUUAGCUCUUCAUGCUUUAAUCCUGCCUUCUUCGGAAAUUUAUCUCCCAUUUCACCUUCCACCUCUGUCCUAACGAACCCCACUUCAAGCUUAAUUCCAUGACAUCUCUCAGAAACAGCUGAUCAUUUGUCACAAUUGUCCAUGUGAAUAAAAUGUUUAACACUGGGUUCUAUACUGCACUCAUGAGCGAAAGAGAUGUACCUCUGAUGCUUGUUCUCCUCCCACGCCACCUGCAGUAUCACGCGACUCAUCUCCUGCUAAACGAGCUGCAGUGGCAACACAAAACUGCAUACUGUUACCAUCUAUGUAUACUGCCUUCUACAGAAUACUAGUAAUUAUCUCACUCACCAGAUCCUCCAUCAGUUGUAGAAUGCACCGAUGAUCUUUCCAACACAAGUCUUCCAGCUGAUCUCGCCUACCUGAGGAAGGUCCAACAAAUAUACUCCCUUCGUAAACUAAUAUAAGAGCGUUUAGAUCACUAUUUUAGUAAUCUAAGUGCUCUUAUAUUAGUUUACAGAGGGAGUAUUGUAUUAGACACAAGAUGGACUCCUCAUGUACCAUGUCAGAGACACACUAUGAAACCAAUCCAGCGCCGGCGUCCCCCUGGACAUCUC